Molecule: ribosomal RNA, 558 nt
Filed under: uncultured bacterium
Lineage: Bacteria
Description: bacterial SSU rRNA
Rfam family: Bacterial small subunit ribosomal RNA
Source: RNAcentral
AAUAGAUACCCUGGUAGUCCACGCCCUAAACGUUGUCAACUGGCUUUUGGGAGAAUCGACCCUUCCAGAGGCGAAGCUAACGCGUUAAGUUGACCGCCUGGGUAGUACGACCGCAAGGUUAAAACUCAAAGGAAUAGACGGGGGCUCGCACAAGCGGUGGAUCAUGAGGCUUAAUUCGUCGCUAAGCGAAAAACCUUACCAGGGUUAGAAAUCCUACUGCACGCCUCCCGAAAGGGAGGAAGCCUUCGAGGGUGUAGGACAGGUGAUGCAUGGCCGUCGUCAGUUCGUGGCUUGAGUUGUUCCCUUAAGUGGGGAAACGAACGCAACCCUCGUUGCCUGUUAUAAGUGUCAGGCGAGACAGCUCCCUCACGGGAGAGGAAGGUGAGGAUGACGUCAGGUCUGCAUGUCCCUCUGAUACCCUGGGCCGCACUCGUGAUACAAUGGUUGGUACAACAGGACGCAAUGUCGCAAGACGGAGCAAAUCCUUAUAAAGCCAACCCCAGUUCGGAUUGGGGUCUGCAAUUCGACCCCAUGAAGCCGGAAUCGCUAGUAAUCCCG